AAACCUCACAAAUAAUGUUUUGGAGACAGAUGCAUAUGAGCAGAUUGGAAUUUCCCUUUGCUGAGAAGAGCAAGUUUCACUGUCUCCCACUAUGUCAGUUAGUGUCUGACCAUUACAGGCAGAGCAGGUUGAAUGAUUUCUGGAGAGAAAGAAGAACCAAAGGAAGACAUGUUGGCCAUCAGUAAUCACAUCUUCUGUGAAGUUACCUAUCGACCUGCUGAGUGUAUCGAGCCUAUUUACAAACCGUGUGACUUUCUGUCAUCAGUUAAAAGGACAUACAGCUGAAACAAGAUGGUCUGCCUGAAAAGCAUCUAGCCUGGAGCUGUGUUCAUUGUUACUUCACUAUCUGUGAGCCAGCAAGAGACAGUUUUACAAAUUUCUAACAUACGGCACAAAAUGAUAUUCAACAGAAACUUAUCUUUCCUAGUUUUAGAUUCCCGGCUUUGACCAAAUUAGUAAGAUCUGACAAAUUUUGAAUUGCUGCAUGCAUGUACCUCUGUAUAUCUCUGAAAUUUGAUCCUGUAAUCUUUGCUCUAAGGAAAAAGAGAUUAAAGUUUAUUGACAAACACA
Microtus ochrogaster (prairie vole) is the source of this 570-nucleotide long non-coding RNA. RefSeq lists it as uncharacterized. The record is from RefSeq and is a predicted model, not a curated record. The transcript has 3 exons. NCBI's taxonomy places the organism in Eukaryota, Metazoa, Chordata, Mammalia, Rodentia, Cricetidae.